RNAcentral lists this ribosomal RNA (471 nucleotides) under Chaca sp. Its description in RNAcentral is "partial 16S ribosomal RNA". It matches the Rfam family "Bacterial large subunit ribosomal RNA", at positions 1935 to 2581 of the family's 2925-position model. Lineage: Eukaryota; Metazoa; Chordata; Actinopteri; Siluriformes; Chacidae. The record is from RNAcentral.
GGUAUCUUGACCGUGCGAAGGUAGCGCAAUCACUUGUCUUUUAAAUGAAGACCUGUAUGAAUGGUAGAACGAAGGCUUAACUGUCUCCCCUUUCAAGUCAAUGAAAUUAAUCUGCCCGUGCAGAAGCGGGCACACACAUAUAAGACGAGAAGACCCUUUGGAGCUUAAGACGCACGACCAACUACGUUAAAACACCAAGUAAGGCCUGGUCCCAGUCUUCAGUUGGGGCGACUACGGGAAAAAAUAAAACUCCCACGUGGAUUGGGGAACCCCCUAAAACCAAGAAAGACACUUCUAAGAAGCAGAACCUCUGACCAAAUAGAUCCGGCACACAGCCGACCAACGAACCAAGUUACCCUAGGGAUAACAGCGCAAUCCCCUUUCAGAGCCCAUAUCGACAAGGGGGUUUACGACCUCGAUGUUGGAUCAGGACAUCCUAAUGGUGCAGCCGCUAUUAAGGGUUCGUUUGUU